AAUACGGAGGGCGCAAGUAUUAAUCGGAAUUUCUGGGCGUAAAGCGCACGCAGGCGGUAUGUCAACUCGGAUUUCAAAUCCCCGGGCUCACCGUGGGAAAUGCAUUUGAAACGGGCAGGCCGGAGUUUUGUAGAGGGGGGUAGAAUUCCAGGUGUAGCGGUGAAAUGCGCAGAGAUUCGGAGGAAUACCGGUGGCGAAGGCGGCCCCCUGGACAAAGACUGACGCUCAGGUGCGAAAGCGUGGGGAGCAAACAGGAUUAGAUACCCUGGUAGUCCACCCCGUAAACGACGUCGAUUUGGAGGUUGUGCCCCGAGGGGUGGCUUCUGGAGCUACCGCGUAACUCGCCCGCCUGG
RNAcentral lists this ribosomal RNA (353 nucleotides) under Enterobacter cloacae. RNAcentral describes it as "bacterial SSU rRNA". It matches the Rfam family "Bacterial small subunit ribosomal RNA", at positions 522 to 876 of the family's 1533-position model. The record is from RNAcentral. Lineage: Bacteria; Pseudomonadati; Pseudomonadota; Gammaproteobacteria; Enterobacterales; Enterobacteriaceae.